Molecule: ribosomal RNA, 253 nt
Filed under: uncultured bacterium
Lineage: Bacteria
Description: partial 16S ribosomal RNA
Rfam family: Bacterial small subunit ribosomal RNA
Source: RNAcentral
UACGUAGGGAGCAAGCGUUGUCCGGAAUCAUUGGGCGUAAAGCGCGCGUAGGCGGCCCCGUAAGUCCGCUGUGAAAGUCAAAGGCUCAACCUUUGAAAGCCGGUGGAUACUGUGGGGCUAGAGUCCGGAAGAGGCGAGUGGAAUUCCUGGUGUAGCGGUGAAAUGCGCAGAUAUCAGGAGGAACACCAAUGGCGAAGGCAGCUCGCUGGAACGGUACUGACGCUGAGGUGCGAAAGCGUGGGGAGCGAACAGG